RNAcentral lists this ribosomal RNA (500 nucleotides) under Blastocystis hominis. Its description in RNAcentral is "bacterial SSU rRNA". It matches the Rfam family "Eukaryotic small subunit ribosomal RNA", at positions 510 to 1016 of the family's 1831-position model. Lineage: Eukaryota; Bigyra; Opalinata; Blastocystidae. The record is from RNAcentral.
UGGAUUGAGAACAACGUACAAACCUUAUCGAUAAACAAUUGGAGGGCAAGUCUGGUGCCAGCAGCCGCGGUAAUUCCAGCUCCAAUAGCGUAUAUUAACGUUGUUGCAGUUAAAAAGCUCGUAGUUGAAAUGAAGGGUAGUUGUGUAAUGAAUACAUUCGUGUAUUUUGUUAUUCUACUACCCUCCUUCUAAAUUCGAUAUAUGAGUAUUAAUUUACUUGUAUAUGGUUUUAGACGUUUACUGUGAGAAAAUUAGAGUGUUCAAAGCAGGCAUUUGCUUGAAUAUAUUAGCAUGGAAUAAUCAUGUAUGAUUUUCAUGAUGUAUUUGAUUGGUUUGGUUCAUGAGAAUAAGAUUAAAAGGGACAGUUGGGGGUAUUCAUAUUCAAUAGUCAGAGGUGAAAUUCUCGGAUUUAUGGAAGAUGAACAAGUGCGAAAGCAUUUACCAAGGAUGUUUUCAUUAAUCAAGAACGAAAGUUAGGGGAUCGAAGAGGAUUAGAUACC